CGACCUGAUUGCAGAAAAUCAGGAGCGAUCAUUUAUUCACCGUGCAAAGCUCAGAGUCUCCUCCUCUUUGUCAACUGAGCUCCGACUGUCAACUGAGCUU
Molecule: long non-coding RNA, 100 nt
Organism: Melanotaenia boesemani (Boeseman's rainbowfish)
Lineage: Eukaryota; Metazoa; Chordata; Actinopteri; Atheriniformes; Melanotaeniidae
Exons: 4
Source: RefSeq, a predicted model, not a curated record